GGAGAUGGCUGCUAUGCGUAUCCGACUAAGCCAUGCAAGUCUGGUAGCAAUACCGGCAAACUGCUCAGUAACACGUCGGUAACCUGCCCUAUGGUCGGGGAUAACCUCGGGAAACUGAGGGUAAACCCUGAUAGGCGAAGCUUCCUGGAACGGUGCUUCGUUGAAACUCGCGCCAUAGGAUGGGCCGGCGGCCGAUUAGGUAGUUGGUGGGGUAACGGCCCACCAAGCCAGAGAUCGGUACGGGCCAUGAGAGUGGUUGCCCGGAGAGGGACACUGAGAUACUGGUCCCAGCCCUACGGGGUGCAGCAGACGCGAAAACUCUACAAUGCACGAAAGUGUGAUAGGGGGAUACGCAGUGCUUACGGCUAUGCUAGGCUUUUGUCGAGUUUAGAACACUCGGCGAAUAAGUGGUGGGCAAGACUGGUGCCAGCCGCCGCGGUAACACCAGCGCCACAAGUGGGCAUCGCGAUUAUUGGGCCUAAAGCGUUCGUAGCCGGCUUGGUGAAUCUCUUGU
This 514-nucleotide ribosomal RNA is filed under the name uncultured euryarchaeote. Its description in RNAcentral is "bacterial SSU rRNA". It matches the Rfam family "Archaeal small subunit ribosomal RNA", at positions 19 to 545 of the family's 1478-position model. Lineage: Archaea; Methanobacteriati; Methanobacteriota. The record is from RNAcentral.